Actinobacteria bacterium BACL4 MAG-120813-bin39 is the source of this 60-nucleotide non-coding RNA. NCBI's taxonomy places the organism in Bacteria, Bacillati, Actinomycetota, Actinomycetes. The record is from Rfam.
UGUGAGACCUUCAUCCAACGGAUCGUCGGGUACGUACCUACCCGGAAGAGGGAGCAAUAA